Molecule: ribosomal RNA, 700 nt
Filed under: Pseudomonas veronii
Lineage: Bacteria; Pseudomonadati; Pseudomonadota; Gammaproteobacteria; Pseudomonadales; Pseudomonadaceae
Description: bacterial SSU rRNA
Rfam family: Bacterial small subunit ribosomal RNA
Source: RNAcentral
UUGAGAGCGGCGGACGGGUGAGUAAUGCCUAGGAAUCUGCCUGGUAGUGGGGGAUAACGUUCGGAAACGGACGCUAAUACCGCAUACGUCCUACGGGAGAAAGCAGGGGACCUUCGGGCCUUGCGCUAUCAGAUGAGCCUAGGUCGGAUUAGCUAGUUGGUGAGGUAAUGGCUCACCAAGGCGACGAUCCGUAACUGGUCUGAGAGGAUGAUCAGUCACACUGGAACUGAGACACGGUCCAGACUCCUACGGGAGGCAGCAGUGGGGAAUAUUGGACAAUGGGCGAAAGCCUGAUCCAGCCAUGCCGCGUGUGUGAAGAAGGUCUUCGGAUUGUAAAGCACUUUAAGUUGGGAGGAAGGGCAGUUACCUAAUACGUGAUUGUUUUGACGUUACCGACAGAAUAAGCACCGGCUAACUCUGUGCCAGCAGCCGCGGUAAUACAGAGGGUGCAAGCGUUAAUCGGAAUUACUGGGCGUAAAGCGCGCGUAGGUGGUUAGUUAAGUUGGAUGUGAAAUCCCCGGGCUCAACCUGGGAACUGCAUUCAAAACUGACUGACUAGAGUAUGGUAGAGGGUGGUGGAAUUUCCUGUGUAGCGGUGAAAUGCGUAGAUAUAGGAAGGAACACCAGUGGCGAAGGCGACCACCUGGACUGAUACUGACACUGAGGUGCGAAAGCGUGGGGAGCAAACAGGAUUAGAUAC